CUGCUGGUGUCACCACAGCAAACUGGCUAGCAGGCCAAUCAUGACUGCCUGCAAGCCAUUUCUUUGACGCCAUGCCUGGUUGUUGAAUAGAUGGGCAAUCACGCUGUGUCAGGUUCUGGCUGCUGUGUUUGAGCAUACACCUCAAGCAGAGUGGAGAGAUGGCAGGAAAUGAGUGGAGAGAGAGGGGGAAUGACUGGACAGAUAAAUCAAGACACCUGAAGACAUCCCCUUGAGAUUUAUAAACUUGUGAUGGGCAUUCUUCAUCAUUUUCUGACAUUUAAUAUUUUGAAUUUGUUUUUGAAAAUAAUAAGAUUUGAUUUGAAAAAUACUUAACCAGUUCCUCAAUUCAUCUCUUUUGUUUCUGUCCUGCUGCUCCUACCUAUUUCACCUCCUUUCACUCUUUUAUUCUAUGCAUGAAUUCGAUUUUUCAUGCCCGUUGUACCCGUCUCCUCCUAUAGUAGAUUAGAUUGCUAGUUUUUCAGGUAUUCUGCUCUCUCCUAUGCAGGGGCGUCCACAUUGUUCUGCAGCUCACUGUCAGUAUCCAUAAAUCCAAUUUGCUGUGUGUGUGUCUGCGUGUGUGUGUGCUUGCAUGUACACGUUUACAGCUAGUACAAUGGCCACUCUGUGUUUCUUAAAAGCUACAUUUAGAGUUACAGCGUAAGUUUGCAUCUGUAGCUCUGUGUGUGUGUGUGUGUGUGUGUUUGGCUUGGUUGCAGCUGCACUUUUUUGCAUCUGCGUUUGUACCUGCAACCCUGUAUGUAAUAUAUUUUGCAUGCAACUGCUUAUGUGAGAGUGCAUUUAUUUCUCUGUGUCUUGUAUCUUUGUAAUUAUGUGUGUUUGUGUGUUAGCGAUAGCUCUGGGUCGAGCUGGCUGUCAGUCUUGAUAAGGCCAGCGGUGGGGAGGCAUUAGUCGGGGCUGCUGCUCGCCUGGCCUCCGCUUGGUGGAUCUGCUGCGAGGGAGCUGAACCAUUAGACACGCUGCAGUGACUACAGAGAGAGAGAGAGAGAGAG
Perca fluviatilis (European perch) is the source of this 1010-nucleotide long non-coding RNA. RefSeq lists it as uncharacterized. The record is from RefSeq and is a predicted model, not a curated record. NCBI's taxonomy places the organism in Eukaryota, Metazoa, Chordata, Actinopteri, Perciformes, Percidae. The transcript has 3 exons.